This is a long non-coding RNA of Mirounga angustirostris (Northern elephant seal), 8962 nucleotides long. RefSeq lists it as uncharacterized. The transcript is spliced from 2 exons. NCBI's taxonomy places the organism in Eukaryota, Metazoa, Chordata, Mammalia, Carnivora, Phocidae. The record is from RefSeq and is a predicted model, not a curated record.
GAGCAGUUUCUCAUUUCUCCCAUGUCCUUAGCAAAAUAAAAUUUUGUUAUCUAAAUGUCUGGUUAUAUGGAUAUAACACAUUUUGUCCCAUUCCCUACUGUUGGACAUUUGGGUUGAUAUCAAUUUUUCCUUUCUAAAAAUUUAACUUUGACAGUGUCAAGAAAAUGAACUGAAAUAUCCAAAAUCCUAUCUCCUAUACCAAACAUGCAGAAGAAAGAAUUAUUUAAAAAGUUAAAAUACGUAUCUGUGAUUGAAAGCUGACAAUGUUCAAUGGACCUAAAAGAAGGAAAGAGACAAGAAGCCACAGUGUCCAGCCAGGAAACCCAUGAAGUCCAAGGCAAAGGGAAUAAACAGAUAUAGAAUUAAGAAUCACCAGAGCCUGGGUCGCUCAGUCAUUAAGCAUCUGCCUUUGGCUCAAGUCAUGACCCGGGGUCCCGGGAUCGAGCCCCGCAUCGGGCUCCCUGCUCAGCAAGGAGCCUGCUUCUCCCUCUCUCUGCCGCUCCCCCUACUUGUGCUCUCUCUCAAAUAAAUACAUAAAAAAUCUUAAAAAAACAAAAACAAAACACCAAACACAUGAAGAAGUCCAGCUCCAUGAAAAAGGGACAAGAAAUUUAGCAAACAAAACCUUUGUACUCCCAGCAAAACAGAGACCCACCAAGCUACCAAAAAUCACUGCGCUACUGAAGAAAUCUGUACGACUAGAAGGUCUGACUUGAAAAACUAGGAGCCCAGUCGUCCCUAUCCUUCCAGGCAUCUACUUCAGGAUGUAUGUGCCAUAAACCGAAAAGCGAACGGAGAUGGAAUAAAGCCAUGGAUCUAGAAACCAUGACACCGACACUGGAAAUAAAGCUACCUAAAUCUAACUAAGGCUACUCCAAGCAGUGUUUCUCUAAUUACUUAUGCUGAAGGACCUAUUUUAAAAAAAAUUCCAAGCCAUCAAAAGUCAACUUUAUCAAUUACAACCACAAUAAAUUAACAGUCAUUUCGGAAAAGAGCUUGUCAAUUCCUUCAAAAGUGAAUUGUAUACCUAAGAUAUUCUACUCCUAGGAAAUUAUCAAAGAAAAAUGAAAGCACAUAUUUAUACAGAAACCUGUACAAGAAUACUCAUGGCAGUUUACUGGUAAUAGCCCCAAACCAGAAAUAACCUUAAUGUCCAUCAAUUGGUGAGAAGAUAAACUGUGGUCUCAAGGGAAAAAAAUUCAUUAAACAAAAAUAAAAAUACAACCUAUCAAAAUUGGUGGACACAGCUAAAGCAGUGAUGAGAACAAAGUUUAUAGCAUUAAGUAUAUACACAAGAGGAAAAGUCUCAAUAAUCUGAGAUUCCACCUCAAGAACCCAGAAAAAGAGCAAAAUAAACCCACAUCAAGCAGAAAAAAAGGAAAUGAUAAAGAUAUGAACAGACAUCAAUAAAACUGAAAAGGGAAAAACAGAAAAAUCUACGAAACAAACAGCUAGUUCUUUGAAAAAAAGCAAUAAAAUUAACAAACCUCUAGAAAGGUUGCCCCCCAAUCCCAAAAAAGACAGAAAUUACCAACAUCAAGAAUGAAACAGGGUUAUCAUUGUAUCACUACAAACAUCAAAAGGAUAGUAAGAAAAUUUAUGCACACAAUUUGAAAACUUAAGACACAAUGGACCAAUUCCUCAAAAAACAGUAGCUACCACAACUCCUUAAAUAUGAAAUAGAUUAUUUGAAUAGCUCUCUAUUAAAAUUCGUAAUUUUAAAACUCCCCAAAAAAGAAAUCUCAAAAACCCAGAUAGUGUCAUUUGAGAAUUAUUCGGAAGGUUUGAAGAAAAAUUAACACCAAUUCUACACAUUCUCUUCCAAAAAAAAAAAAAAAAAAAAAAAAAAAUUGAAGAGGAGGGAACACUUCCCAAUUCAUUCUAUAAAGCUAGUUGGUACUCUGACACCAAAAGCAGACAGACAGUACAAAAACUAUAGAACAAUUUCCCUCAAAUAGACACAAAAAUCCUUUAUUAACAGAAUUCAACAACAUAUAAAAGUAUAUUUAUAUACCACAACCAAGAAGUAUUUUCAGGGAUGUAAGAUUACUUGAUGGUAAAACAAACAAACAAAAACAAUGUAAUGCAUCAUAUUAACAAGCUAAAGAUGAACAUGGACACUAUCAUAUUGAUAGAUGCAAAAAAAAAAAAAAAAGCACUUAAGAAAAUCCAACACUCAAUGAUAAAUACUCUCAGAAACAUGGGAAUAGAGUGAAACUUCCCAAACUUGAUUAAAAAAACAUCUAUACAAAACCUACAGCUAACAAUAUACUUAAUGGUAAAAAACCAGUUGCUUUCCUCUUAAGAUCAGGAACAAGAUAAGAAUGUCCACUCUUGCCAUUCUUAUUCAACACAGUGCUGGUAGUUCUAGGCAGCACAGUAAGGCAAGAAAAGAAAUAAAAGGCAUAUAAAUCAGAAAAGAAAAAAUAAAGCUGUCUCCAUUUGUAGAUGACAUGCUUGCCUAUACAGAAAAUCCCAAGGUCUCUAUUUCUUUAAAAAGAGAGAGGGAGAGAAAAGAAUCUCUUGGGUCUAAUCUCACAAAACAUAGAUGACAUGAAUACUGAAAACUACAAAACGCUCACCGAAGAAAUCAAAUAUCUAAAUAAAUGAAGACAUACCGUGUUCAAAGAUUGGAAGACUCAACACAGUAAAGAUUUCAAUUCUCCCCAAACUGAUACACUCGUUUAAUGCAAUUCCUAUUAAAAUCCCAGCAACAAUUUUCUGUAGAUAUAGAAAAUAUUUGGAUGUCAUCAGGAAUGGCAAAAUCAAACUAUGAAAAUCCUCUCCUCCAUAAAAGCAAUGAAAACACUGACAAAAACUGUCAAAAUUAACUUUUUUGGAACUUUGAAAUUUAAUCAAAGGUUUAUAAUUACCUAGAGACUGUUUAUUCAAGAAAAAUGCCUGAAUCUUGGUUAAAAACAGCAAACCCUGUGGAAUUCUGAACAUGUCCCCAUUCCCUUCCCCAGUUCCAUGGCAGCCUUGAAAAUCAACAGCCCACAAUCACAGUGAAAUCAGCAACAUAGUAACACUGGAGAGGUCAGAACAAAGUUAAAAAGGUUUCAGGUUCUCAUUCUCAGAAAACUACCAUUAUCUGAUCUAUCUGCACUUCCUGGAAAACCUUACCACAAGGCCUAUCUUUAUUUGACAUGACUCCACAGCUUGCAGCCUUUACCCUGAAGGCAUUUGUUAAAAACAAUCAGUGGCAAGUGUUUAGUACCACUGCUGUUUCAUGAGGAAUAACAGUUGUGGCAAACAAUAAGCUAACCAAAAAAACUUAAGCUGGAGAAUGAGAUACCCCGUAGGAGACUUGGGAAACUUCUGGGGAAUCCAGAAGGCUACAUGUAUGAGUAGACAGUAUGUAUGCCUAGGACUGUGCACAUGCUCAAGACUGGAAGAGGCCUUAAGCUCUCACAGAGGCUAAGGGCACACAAAGAAUGUUUCUCCUUGAGGCUAUGCGCAAAGAGAAAGUAAAACCCAAAACAGAGCUGUAAACUAGCAUUGGAUAUUAACCAAAGCUUGCAACAAUUCAGAGAGCACUUACUGAAUCUUGGUACACAGUAUACUAAAACACUACCCUGCUGUGUGUUGAAGGUGUGACCCAACAUGCAUGAAGAGACCCUCAACAAAGACAGGGAGAUAUCCUGGUUACAGUCAUUUAAGGAAAUAUCUGACCAGUACAAACUCAGCAGAGACUUCAGUAGUGACAUACAACAAAAAAUACAAAUUUCAAAGAAUUAGUUAGGAAAGUAACUAAACAAACAGCAACAACAAGCCUGGGGAGGGAAGGACAACUGAUUUCAAAGUUGCUACAUCAUGCUACUUCAACUGCCAGUUUCAACAAAAAUUACAACACUUUCAACAAAAACAAAGUAUGGGUCACACACUGGAAAAAAAGCAGUCAAUAGAAAAUAUCCCGGAGGAAGCCCAGAAAUAGACUUACAAAGUAAAGACUUUAAAACAGUUAUUUUAAAAAUGUUCAAUCAACUAAAGAACUAAAUCAACUGAAGAACUAAAUCAACUAAAGAAACCAUGUCUAAAGAACUAAAGGAAAGGAAGCGAACAAUGUCUCAUUGAAUAGAGAGUAUCAACAGAGGAAGAAAAGUAUAAAAAAGAGCCAACUAGAAAUUUUGGAGUUGAAAAGUACAAUAACUGAAAUAAAAGAUUCACUAGUGAGGCUAAAGAGAUUUGAACAGGCAAAACAAAGGAAACCUGAAGAUCGGUCACUUGAGAUUAUCUAGUAUGAUGAAAAUAAAAAAGUGAUUAAAAGGUAUAUCAAAGUAUACCAUUGUAUAUCAAACUAUGCAGAACAGGAGUGUCAGAAGAAGAAAAGAGAAAGAGGCAGAAUGAAUAUUUGAGGAAAUUAAUAACCCCAAACUUCCCAGCUUGGAUCUAAAACAUUAAUCUGCAUGGCCCAGAAGCUAAAUAACUUCCCAGUAGGAUAAACUUAAGGAAGAGUCACAUUGAAAAACAUAAUAGUUAACUGCUGAAAAAACGCUGGAAGAAAAAAGUUAACUCAUCAUGUACAAGGGAUCCCCAAUAAGAUUAAAAGCUGACUUCUCAUCAGAAACCAGGGAACUAGAAAGCAGUGGAACAUCAUAUUCAAAGUGCUAGGGGGGAAAAAAAAAAAAGAAUAAGAAUUCUCUAUCCAAUAAAACUAUCCUUCAAAAACAAAGUAUAACUUAAGACAUUGCCAGAUAAACAAGAACUGAGAGAAUUCGUCAUUAGCAGACAUACCCUACAAGAAAUCCUGAAGUCUUUCAUGCCAAAAUGAAAGGACACUAGACAGUAACUUGAAUCUAUACAAAGAAAUAAAGAGAACCAGUAAAGAUAACUACACAGUUAAUACAAAAAAUAGUAAAAUUUUAUCUGUUGUUUGUAACUUUUUUUCUCUUAUCUGACUUAAAAGACAACUGUUAUGGUAUUAAUAAAAAAUAUUUAUUUUCUUAGUCCCUAGUCCCUGGCUUGGAGUUCUAAAAACCCUUGGAAUUUCCUGAGUGACAGGAACAUCUUUUGUUUUGCAUACCAAGCACCCAAGCACUUUGGACCAUGCCUGAUUUUAUGCUAAUAAGAGGACUCUUGGAAGGGCCCCCUAGAUAGCUUCAGAAUGGAGACUGGUUGCCAGAAGAAUCAACCACAUGGAUUAGAGGGCUGAAACUUUCAACCCCACCCCCUGACCUCAAGGAGGGGGAAAGAACUGGAGAUUGAGUUCAUUUACCAAUGGCCAAAAAAUUUAAUCAAUCAUGCAUACAUAAUGAAACUUUAAUAAAAAAAAUCCUAAGAUGAUAAGGUUCUGGAGCUUCUGACUUGAUGAACAGGUCAACAUUCUGGGAAGGUGAUGCACCCAGAAGAGGGAAUGAAAGCUCUGAACACUCUAUCCCCAUACUUUGUCUUAUGCAGCUCUUCCAUAUGGAUGUUACGGAGUUGCAUCCUUUAUAAUAAACCGGCAACUGUUAAGUAUAAUAUUUUCCUGAGUUCUAUGAGUUGAUGUAGCAAAUACCAAACCUGAAGAGGGGCUGCGGGAACCCCUGAAUUUGAAGCCAAGUUAGGCAGAAGUGCAGGCAGCCUGUGUCCUUGAGACUUAUGUAUGAAGCAAGGGCUGUCCUGUGGGACCAAGCCCUUAAUCUGCCCUAAUUCCAGGCAGUUAGUAUCAGAAUUGAAUUGAAUUGUAAGACACUUGGUUGGGGUCAGAAAAUCAAACAUUGUUACAAAAACAAAACUAUAUGAAGAAAUAAUUAUAAAAGCUGUGCUGACAGGCUUAUAAUAAUUAAAAUACAAUUUGUAUGACAACAACAGCAUAAAGGAGGGAGGAAUGGAAUGGAACUAUGUAGGGGCAAAAUUUUGCACACUACUGAAAUUAAUUUGGUAUAUGAACCAGAUUGUUAUAAAUUAAGAUAUUGUUAUUCUAAAGGCAGCUACUAAGAAAAUAGCUCAAAAAAUACAGUUAAGCGUCUGCCUUCGGCUUAGGUCAUGAUCCCAGAGUCCUGGGAUCGAGCCCCGCAUUAGGCUCCGUGCUCCACGGGGAGUCUGCUUCUCCCUCUCCCACUCCCCCUGCUUGUGUUCCUGCUCUCGCUCUGUCAAAUAAAUAAAAAUAAAACCUUAAAAAAAAGGAAAGAAACAAGGUAAUUAAAAUGGUACAACAGAAAAUAUUUAACAUAAAGUAAUAAUAGAGAACUAGAGGAAAAAAAAACUCCUACGACGCAGUGACAAUAAAUUAGCAAAAUGGCUCACGUAAAUGCUACCUUCGCCAGGAAUCACAUCAAAUGUAAAUGGAUUAAACACUCCAAUUUAAAGGCAGGGAGAGGAAAAAUGGAUACAGAAGAUGGAUCCGGAGUUCAUCUCCUCCCAUGGACACAACAAGGUAACAGGUACAACUAUACAAGUAACCCUGGAAACAAUCUAAAGACUGGCAGAACAGAUCCUCCACAGUCAACUGUGAAGAGGAGGCCACGCAGAAAAGGAUAGGAAGGACAGAGACACUACUGGAAAGUAAAGCCCUGGAGGCAGUAACCACAAAUGGGUAGGACACUACAAACAUGGAGAAAUUAGAGGAUCAGACCCCACACCAGGAAAACCUGGCAGCAGGGGCCUGCACUGGGAAGACGAAUCCCUGUAACAUGAGGCUUGAAAAAUCAGUGGGACUUAAAUCUGAAAGAGCCAGAGGGGAAUAGGAAACUCAGCUGCUGCCCUUAAAGACUCGGCAAAACAAGUAACUCUGUGUAAGACACAGCACAGAAGUAGCUGUCUGAAAAGCACCUGGGGUAUAAGUGAAGGGGAUUUACUGACUAAUCUUAGAAUGUGUGAAGGGACAGCGAUCUUCAGAUUUCUCCAGGAACAAAAGUGCUGGCAGAUGCCACUUCUUUUCUACUCCACCAGCUUACAUAGCCGGACACUUGCAGAAGCCAGCGCCAACACUCUCCCCCAUCUAUCCUGCUAGCAGUAUGUGCUCCAUCCAAGCAUUCCCCCGAGGACGGACCCAUCCAAACCACUGCUCCUGCCUCACCCCACCCUGGAGGCUGCCCAAGCAGGUACUGGUGCCAAAGUGAUUCCUGCCUGGGGAGGCGGGGGGAGAUAACCCCACACACUGGCACACCCGCAAUUCCAGCAGCCCAGACUCUUAGCUGGCUGUGCAGGGAGCAAGCUGUGCCCUUUGAUGCUCCUGCAACCACGGCAGAGGCUAACAGGAGACUCCUAGGCUGAUGGCCAGCCCUGCCUACCAACAAGCCUGAGGCAACCUCAGGCCUCUCAACAGCACAGAGACCAAACCCUGCCUAGUGCACCCACAGCAUGUAAUGGGGGUCAUGGCAGUCGGCUAGGCUGAAGGCAACAGUGGCUCAGCCACAAAAGUGGGGUAUAUGCAGCCCACACAGAGGGCACCUCUGGAGACCAGAGAGGGCAAGUGCUAUACGGUACCAUAGGACCUCUUCUACACAAGGCCAUGACUUUAACAACUAGGAGAUAUAGCUACCCACCUAAUACAGAGAAACACAGAGUCAGGCAAAAUGAGACAGUAAUAUGUCCCAAAUGGAAGAACAAGACAAAAAUCACAGUAAAAGAGCUAAGUGAAAUGGAGAUAAGCAAUGUACCUAAUAAAGAAUUCAAAAUAAUGGUCAUAGAAAUUGGGACAUAAGAGUGGAUGAUCUCAAUGAGAACUUCAACAAAGAUAGAAAAUAUAAGAAUCAGAGAAUUUAAUAAUGAAAUAAAAAAAAUACACUAAGAGAAUUAACAGCAGAUUAGAAGACACAGAAGAAUGUAUCAGUGAUCUGGGGGACAGGGUAAUAGAAAGCAAUCAAGCUGAAUAUCAAAAAGAGAAAUACUAAAAAAAUGAGAAUAGAUUAAAGGGAACUCAGCAACAUCAUCAAGCAUAGUAACAUUCACAUUAUAGGGGUCACAGAAAGAGGAGAGAGAGAGAAGGGGGCAGAAAACUUAUUUUAAAAAAUACUAGCUGAAAAAUUUCCUAAUCUGGGUUAGGAAACAAGAUGAACCCAAGGAGGACUACACCAAGAUACAUAAUAAUUAAUUUUUAUGAGAGAAUUUUUAAAGGAGCAAGAAACAACAGUUACACACCAGAGAAACCCUGUAAGGCUAUCAGCUCAUUUUUCAGCAGAAAACUUGGCAGGCUAAAAGGGAGUGUCACCGAUAUAGUCAAAGUGCUGAAAAGACAAGACCUACAACCAAGAAUACUCUACCCAGCAAGGUUAUCAUUUAGAAUAGAAGGAGAGAGAGUUUCCCAAACAAGUUAAAUGAGUUCACCAUUAAAUUUAAAGGAAGCUCUUUCAGUGCAAAGAUAAGGCCAUAAUUAGAAGAAAAUUAUUAAAGGAAAAAAGUCUCACAGGUAAAAGCAAACAUAUACUAAAGGUAGUAGAUCAGUCACUUUUAAAGCCAGUUUUUAAAACACAGAAGUAAAAUCAAUUAUACCUACAAAACCUUGUCAGGGAUACACAAAACAAAAAGAUGUAAAGCAUGACAUCAUAUCCAUAAAAUGUGGAGGGGAAGUAAAAAUGCAGUGAUUUUAGAAUGUGCUCAAGCUUAAGCAACUAUCAACUUAAUAUAGACUGCUACAGACAUAAGCUGUUAUAUAUGAGCCCAUGGUAACCACAAAUCAAAAACCUAAAAUGGACACAAAAUAACCCAGAAAGGAAUACAGGCAUAACACUAAAGAAAGCUUUCAACCACAGGGUAAGAGCAAAAGAAAUGAACAGAAGAGCUACAAAAAGAAGCUGUGAAUUGUGUAAGACUGAAGAGUCACAGACUUGUACCCCUGAAACAAAUAAUACAUUAUAUGUUAAUAAAAAAGAUAACCUGAAAGUAAAAAAAAAAAAACCCCCAAAAAAAGAAAAUAAACAAAAUGGCAGUAAGUACAUACCUAUCAGUAAUUACUUCAAAUGUAAAUGGAUUAAAUGCCCCAAUCAAGACACAGAAUGACUAAAUGGAUUAAAAAAAAAAAAACCACCACCAAGACCCA